RNAcentral lists this transfer RNA (76 nucleotides) under Halalkalibacter alkalisediminis. RNAcentral's name for it is "tRNA-Thr". It matches the Rfam family "tRNA". Rfam says of the family: Transfer RNA (tRNA) molecules are approximately 80 nucleotides in length. Lineage: Bacteria; Bacillati; Bacillota; Bacilli; Caryophanales; Bacillaceae. The record is from RNAcentral. RNAcentral also lists the same sequence under 1 other name.
GCUUCCAUAGCUCAGUAGGUAGAGCACUACCAUGGUAAGGUAGGGGUCAGCGGUUCAAAUCCGCUUGGAAGCUCCA